Daucus carota subsp. sativus is the source of this 2942-nucleotide long non-coding RNA. RefSeq lists it as uncharacterized. The transcript is spliced from 5 exons. Lineage: Eukaryota; Viridiplantae; Streptophyta; Magnoliopsida; Apiales; Apiaceae. The record is from RefSeq and is a predicted model, not a curated record.
CGAUGAAACAAACAAGUAAAGCAACAAUAAACAAUAAACAAGACACCAAGAAUUAUACGUGGAAAACCCCCUUUAAUGAAAGGAGUAAAAACCACGGGACCGUAGUCCACCCAAACAAUUCACUAUGAUAAAUUAUAUGGGUAAUACACCAAGUUCUUCUCCAGAUAAAACUAGAGGAAUACAAUCACCUUCACACUCUUGGAAUAACUCGUCAAGAAGUAUGGAACCAAAUAAGCAACAAAAGAACAAAGACCCACGGCUAGGUUCAGCCUCUCCACGGCUCUUUAGCUACUGCCCAGCCCCUCAAAUACACCUCCGAAUCCGAUCUCCACCGUUCAGAAUUUAGAUAUCGGUGUUAGGAAGAUGCUGUCCGAAAUUCAGGACGAUCCGACCGUUGGAACUCCGGGAAACGCAAAAACAAGGCAGGCAGCGCAACCAGAAAAUUUCCUGCGAAUUUUCACACAAUAUCUCUCUUUUGCUUAUUUUCUCUCUUGCUUAUUUUCACAAAUAUCCUCCUAUAUUUAUAUAUAGGGUUCCCUUUAUUUUUAUCUCCUUGUAGGCCAAAACAAGGGUAAUCCUAUUGGGCUUUUAAUCUCAUAGGUAGAAACUAAAACCCAACAUCUUCUUGAUCCAAGUCACAGUACCUUUCUUGCAUCUUAAAAUACAGCUUACUAGCAACUCAGGAGUCAGGAAUCAGCCCAGAAAUUAAUAAGAUAAAAACAAGUAAAGAACAAUAUGGGUGAAAUAACAGCAAGUUACUAGAUAGCUCAUUGUGAGUCACUGUACUUCAUUCCGUAAUGCAAGUUCAGAUACAUGAAGGCCAUACCGACUUUAUAGUCAAGUCAGAACUAAAAAAUAUGAGAUUUCAGUUGAGUAUGGAAAACAGAACUUUCUAAUUAAUACUGCAAAUGUUCAUAAAGUUGGCAUUACCAUAAUUCUUAAACAAAAUCCAACUAAUGUAUUCGAGUAUUCGACUUUAGAAUCUCAGUUGCUGAUCCAAGAAAUCUUACUCAAACUCCUUUCUAAUGCUGUAAAGGCAGGACCUAAGAGCAUCUGUAGUUACUUGCUACAUUCAUAACUGUAGUGUAUCAGAUAGAUUUUAGAUUUUUAGUGACAUAUUCCUGUUUAAUCAGAGUAAGCAUCUAUAGACUAUAGUUACUGUAAGUGCAUACAACCACACAUGUCAAAGUUAGCUCUCUAUUUCCUCAAGUAAAGGGACACUGUUUAAAAGAUCAAUUUACAAUUGUAAAAUAUGACAAAAUAAAUAAAAAAAAUUACAAUUGUAAUCAUAAAAUUCCUCGCAGAAAUUUCUGGUAAAAAGAAUAAUUUUUGAACGGCUAGGGGAACAAGGAGGUUAAACUAGGUUUUUAGUUAAAAGAUUGUAACCGAGUCCAGACUAACCUGUAAAAUUUAACGACAAUUUAUGUCAACGGACUUAUCACUACAUCACUUAAUAUUAAGUUUUUAUAGUGUAUGACACACAUUAACACUAUCUUUAUUUAGGUGGUAGAUUUUUAUUGAUAAAACUUUUUGUGCAGGGACAUCAUUAUUAUUUACGGAGUAAACUUCAAAAUUGUGGCAAAAAUUUACACCUAUUUUCAAAAAGUUGGCCAGACUUCCAAAUUCUCAGAACAAUGGCCAAAUUUUGGCUUCCUUUUUAAAAGUGUGGCUCCCGUUAAAUGUGUUGUUAAAAACUUAACGUCAACACAUAUAAACGGGUUUUUUAGGGGUAUUUCAGUCUAACACUUAUAAAAUAUACAUAUUAGGCAGUAAAAAAACAGAACUGACAUACUUUACCAUUUCUAAACCCUAAUUAAAAAGAAGAAGCGCGCGAGAGGAGUGAUUAGCAUGAAGGAAGUGAGUGCUUUGCUAAGUGUCCUGACUAUAAAGAUAAAUUUAAAAUACUGUGAGUGGCUAGCAGCUAAAUCCAAGGAGCAAUGGAGUAGGUGUGAAUUUAGAACCCUUUGCAAGAGUGAUAUGUUCGUAAACAAUCACUGCGAGGUGUUCAAUGCAUCCAUCAAGAAAAUCAGGCACCUUCCCAUUGUUACAAUUCUAAGGCAUAUACAAUCAGUUGUGAUCCGUAGAAUCCCAAAAAAAAAAGUAAGAGGCUGAGACUUGGGUUGAGAAAUUCACUCUAAACUCACUUGAGAAGUUAGUCGAUGGCAUGUAUGAACUCUAGGAGAAUGGAACUUGAAGAUGGCCUACAAAACUGUUAUUCCAUUGCAAUGUUUCAAAAGGUUUAUUUACACAUUGUUGAUCCAAUCAAUGGAAAGGAGUUUUGGACAAAAACUCCUUACACAUAGCCUUUGCCUCCCAAUAUUAAACCAAGUACAGGAAGGCCUAAAAUGAAAAGGAGUAGAAAAAAUGAUGCACCCCAUCCUCAUUUCACCAAAUUAAAAAGGCAAAAAACGAGCUUGAGAUGUGGAACCUACAAUGAAUGGGGUCAUAAUCGCAGAGGUUGUAAAGCAAAGAGUCACAAGUAGGGGCUGAGGCUAAGACACAAGUAGGGGCUGAGGCUGGUGAGAAUAAUGAAGUAAAUGAAGAAAAUGUUUGUGGCCAGAAGACAGCAACUGAAUUUGCUCCAGGGGCAUCUCAACCAACAGAUGAGCUCCACGACAGUCAGGGAGGUGUCUUUGAGCCACCACCAACUACACAAAACCCUUCGACAUGUGGUGUUGUUCCUAAAGCUUGGCAGAAAAAGCAAAAGGUUGUUACUACAAGGUCUGAGAUUCUAAGGGCAGGAAGUACAAGCGAAAGGAAAAUUAACAAGAGAUAUCAAGAUUGAACUUCUUUUUCAUGUUAAAUUAUGCAAACUUGCAAAUCUUGAUCUUUUGUAAUCUUUUGCAAACUAGCAGAUUGAAUUAUAUUUCGGUUAAAUUCAAAUACAGUUUAUUAUCAAAGGUUUAAUCAUUUUGAAAUGAAAAUACUCUUAUUAUGUUGCA